Molecule: ribosomal RNA, 425 nt
Filed under: uncultured bacterium
Lineage: Bacteria
Description: partial 16S ribosomal RNA
Rfam family: Bacterial small subunit ribosomal RNA
Source: RNAcentral
GUUAGGAAUAUUGGACAAUGGGGGAAACCCUGAUCCAGCAAUGCCGCGUGAGUGAUGAAGGCCUUAGGGUUGUAAAGCUCUUUUACCAGGGAUGAUAAUGACAGUACCUGGAGAAUAAGCUCCGGCUAACUCCGUGCCAGCAGCCGCGGUAAUACGGAGGGAGCUAGCGUUGUUCGGAAUUACUGGGCGUAAAGCGCACGUAGGCGGUUACUCAAGUCAGAGGUGAAAGCCCGGGGCUCAACCCCGGAACUGCCUUUGAAACUAGGUAACUAGAAUCUUGGAGAGGUCAGUGGAAUUCCGAGUGUAGAGGUGAAAUUCGUAGAUAUUCGGAAGAACACCAGUGGCGAAGGCGACUGACUGGACAAGUAUUGACGCUGAGGUGCGAAAGCGUGGGGAGCAAACAGGAUUAGAUACCCUUGUAGUCC